Molecule: ribosomal RNA, 948 nt
Filed under: uncultured bacterium
Lineage: Bacteria
Description: bacterial SSU rRNA
Rfam family: Bacterial small subunit ribosomal RNA
Source: RNAcentral
UUAGUCGGGGAGCAAAAAAGCGGACGUGUCCGCCAUGAGCGUACCCGAAGAAUAAGCAUCGGCUAACUCCGUGCCAGCAGCCGCGGUAAUACGGAGAUGCGAGCGUUAUCCGGAUUUAUUGGGUUUAAAGGGUGCGUAGGCGGUUUAAUAAGUCAGGGUUAAAUGUCGGGGCUCAACCUCGGCCUGCCGUUGAAACUGUUGAACUAGAGUUAGAGUGAGCAUGCGGAAUGCGCAGUGUAGCGGUGAAAUGCAUAGAUAUUGCGCAGAACUCCGAUCCGAAGGCAGCGUGCUAACUCUCGACUGACGCUGAGGCACGAAAGCGCGGGUAUCGAACAGAUUAGAUACCCUGGUAGUCCGCGCAGUAAACGAUGGAUACUUGCCUUCUGGGCCGAAUGAGUUUGCGAGGCGAAGCGAAAGCGUUAAGUAUCCCACCUGGGGAGUACGCCGGCAACGGUGAACUCAAAGGAAUUGACGGGGGCCCGCACAAGCGGAGGAACAUGUGGUUUAAUUCGAUGAACGCGAGGAACCUUACCCGGGCUCGAACGCAAGUUGACGUACUUUGAAAGAGGUAUUCCACAAUGGCAAUUUGCGAGGUGCUGCAUGGUUGUCGUCAGCUCGUGCCGUGAGGUGUCGGCUAAGUGCCAUAACGAGCGCAACCCCUAUCUAUAGUUGCCAACGGGUGAUGCCGGGAACUCUUGGAGACUGCCAGCGCAAGCUGUGAGGAAGGCGGGGAUGACGUCAAAUCAGCACGGCCCUACGUCCGGGGCGACACACGUGUUACAAUGGCGAGUUACAGCGGGAAGCUGCAUAGCGAUAGUGGCGGAUCCCUAAAUCUCGUCUCAGUUCGGAUUGGAGUCUGCAACUCGACUCCAUGAACUGGAUUCGCUAGUAAUCGCGCAUCAGCCACGGCGCGGUGAAUACGUUCCCGGGCCUUGUCACACCGCCCGU